UAACAGGGAAUGACCCACCCCUUAGGUUGGGUUAACCAGGGAAACUGGAGGUUAUUCCGGGUUACGUGAUGGGACCCCAGGUUCAACAGUGAAAGGGGGUCUUGGUGUCACCCAUAGAUGGAUCCGCGCCGCAUUAGCUAGUUGGUGGGGUAACGGCCCACCAAGGCAACGAUGCAUAGCCGACCUGAGAGGGUGAUCGGCCACACUGGAACUGAGACACGGUCCAGACUCCUACGGGAGGCAGCAGUAGGGAAUCUUCCACAAUGGACGAAAGCCUGACGGAGCAACGCCGCGUGAACGAUGAAGGUCUUCGGGUCGUAAAAUUCUGUUUAAGGGAAGAACAAAGCCUCAGG
RNAcentral lists this ribosomal RNA (353 nucleotides) under bacterium Urfbp4. RNAcentral's name for it is "bacterial SSU rRNA". It matches the Rfam family "Bacterial small subunit ribosomal RNA", at positions 111 to 460 of the family's 1533-position model. The record is from RNAcentral.